Homo sapiens (human) is the source of this 130-nucleotide long non-coding RNA. The record is from Ensembl. Lineage: Eukaryota; Metazoa; Chordata; Mammalia; Primates; Hominidae.
GAAAAGAAUCUCUUCAUUUUAAGUGUGACCUGAAGAUAGAGUGAGCUUCCUGCUGCACGGAGUCACUAUAGAGCCCAGAAGAAAGAACACCAAAAGAGAAGUUUUUUAAAAAGAAAAGAAAAGGAAAAGG